RNAcentral lists this ribosomal RNA (1522 nucleotides) under metagenome. Its description in RNAcentral is "bacterial SSU rRNA". It matches the Rfam family "Bacterial small subunit ribosomal RNA". The record is from RNAcentral.
AGAGUUUGAUCAUGGCUCAGAUCGAACGCUGGCGGCAGGCCUAACACAUGCAAGUCGAACGGUAACAGGAAACAGCUUGCUGUUUCGCUGACGAGUGGCGGACGGGUGAGUAAUGUCUGGGAAACUGCCUGAUGGAGGGGGAUAACUACUGGAAACGGUAGCUAAUACCGCAUAACGUCGCAAGACCAAAGAGGGGGACCUUCGGGCCUCUUGCCAUCAGAUGUGCCCAGAUGGGAUUAGCUAGUAGGUGGGGUAACGGCUCACCUAGGCGACGAUCCCUAGCUGGUCUGAGAGGAUGACCAGCCACACUGGAACUGAGACACGGUCCAGACUCCUACGGGAGGCAGCAGUGGGGAAUAUUGCACAAUGGGCGCAAGCCUGAUGCAGCCAUGCCGCGUGUAUGAAGAAGGCCUUCGGGUUGUAAAGUACUUUCAGCGGGGAGGAAGGGAGUAAAGUUAAUACCUUUGCUCAUUGACGUUACCCGCAGAAGAAGCACCGGCUAACUCCGUGCCAGCAGCCGCGGUAAUACGGAGGGUGCAAGCGUUAAUCGGAAUUACUGGGCGUAAAGCGCACGCAGGCGGUUUGUUAAGUCAGAUGUGAAAUCCCCGGGCUCAACCUGGGAACUGCAUCUGAUACUGGCAAGCUUGAGUCUCGUAGAGGGGGGUAGAAUUCCAGGUGUAGCGGUGAAAUGCGUAGAGAUCUGGAGGAAUACCGGUGGCGAAGGCGGCCCCCUGGACGAAGACUGACGCUCAGGUGCGAAAGCGUGGGGAGCAAACAGGAUUAGAUACCCUGGUAGUCCACGCCGUAAACGAUGUCGACUUGGAGGUUGUGCCCUUGAGGCGUGGCUUCCGGAGCUAACGCGUUAAGUCGACCGCCUGGGGAGUACGGCCGCAGGGUUAAAACUCAAAUGAAUUGACGGGGGCCCGCACAAGCGGUGGAGCAUGUGGUUUAAUUCGAUGCAACGCGAAGAACCUUACCUGGUCUUGACAUCCACGGAAGUUUUCAGAGAUGAGAAUGUGCCUUCGGGAACCGUGAGACAGGUGCUGCAUGGCUGUCGUCAGCUCGUGUUGUGAAAUGUUGGGUUAAGUCCCGCAACGAGCGCAACCCUUAUCCUUUGUUGCCAGCGGUCCGGCCGGGAACUCAAAGGAGACUGCCAGUGAUAAACUGGAGGAAGGUGGGGAUGACGUCAAGUCAUCGUGGCCCUUACGACCAGAGCUACACACCUGCUACAAUGGCGCAUACAAAGAGAAGCGACCUCGCGAGAGCAAGCGGACCUCAUAAAGCGCGUCGUAGUCCGGAUUGGAGUCUGCAACUCGACUCCAUGAAGUCGGAAUCGCUAGUAAUCGUGGAUCAGAAUGCCACGGUGAAUACGUUCCCGGGCCUUGUACACACCGCCCGUCACACCAUGGGAGUGGGUUGCAAAAGAAGUAGGUAGCUUAACCUUCGGGAGGGCGCUUACCACUUUGUGAUUCAUGACUGGGGUGAAGUCGAAACAAGGUAACCGUAGGGGAACCUGCGGUUG